Molecule: ribosomal RNA, 204 nt
Filed under: uncultured bacterium
Lineage: Bacteria
Description: partial 16S ribosomal RNA
Rfam family: Bacterial small subunit ribosomal RNA
Source: RNAcentral
UAAUACGUAGGGUGCAAGCGUUGUCCGGAAUUAUUGGGCGUAAAGGGCUCGUAGGCGGUCCAUCGCGUCGGGAGUGAAAAGCUGGGGCUUAACCCCAGUCCUGCUUCCGAUACGGGUGGACUAGAGGUAGGUAGGGGAGAACGGAAUUCCUGGUGUAGCGGUGAAAUGCGCAGAUAUCAGGAGGAACACCGGUGGCGAAGGCGG